Molecule: transfer-messenger RNA, 346 nt
Filed under: Gammaproteobacteria (g-proteobacteria)
Lineage: Bacteria; Pseudomonadati; Pseudomonadota
Also listed under: 1 other name
Description: TMED112 sp002683115 Standard tmRNA
Rfam family: transfer-messenger RNA
About the family: Bacterial tmRNA, also known as 10Sa RNA or SsrA, is named for its dual tRNA and mRNA-like properties. Its role is to liberate the mRNA from a stalled ribosome.
Source: RNAcentral
GGGGGCGUAUUUGGCUUUGACGUCUGACGCAGAACCCAACGUGCAUAUCGAGCAUAAACACAACUCGUUAAAAUUUGUUUAAAAAAUUUAGUUGCAGAUAACUACAACUAUAGAUUGGCAGCUUAAUGCCAACCUGUUAUCAUUUGUGACCUACAACAUUUGAUAAUAGUCAUUUUGUAGGAGUAGUUUUAUAGCUUGUCCAACUAUAAAGCGAAAUUAAGGACUAUGCUUAGUAUGUCUUGAUCAUCAGGCUAUACUAAAGUUGAAAUUAAUAGAUGAAUCUAAAUAUGUAGAAGCUAGGGGAAAGUGAUGACGGACGUGGGUUCGAAUCCCGCCGCCUCCACCA